AUCCUAUUCCAAGUAGGAAUUCCAGUCCUACUCCAACUAGGAUUCCCAGUCCUAAUCCAAUUAGGACUCUAGGAAUCCUACCCGAAGUAGGAUUUGUGUUUAAGUCCAAUUAAUUAAUUUCCUUUGUUCCUUCUUCAACUUCUUAUCAAUCAAAUUGAUUACUUGUGAUUCCUAAUCACGAUUUCAACCAUCGGAUCGGUCAAUACUUCUAGUGUGUGUGACCCCAUAGGUUCUAUUCUGACUGGUAGUGAGAUAUAUUGAUCUCUAUCACUAUAUCAUUGAAAACUCCUUUCAAUGGGUUGGAACGAUUCCAACUCAACUCAUUAGGGUUUAUCGAUCAUCGAGAUAAUCCCUAUAAGUCCCACCAUCCACCAGUGACACCUAGCAGCAUGUAGUGGCUACCCAGCAGAAUGGAAUGAUGAACCUC
Molecule: long non-coding RNA, 427 nt
Filed under: Phoenix dactylifera (date palm)
Lineage: Eukaryota; Viridiplantae; Streptophyta; Magnoliopsida; Arecales; Arecaceae
Description: long non-coding RNA (PDAC_LNC021045)
Source: RNAcentral